This 274-nucleotide ribosomal RNA is filed under the name uncultured bacterium. Its description in RNAcentral is "partial 16S ribosomal RNA". It matches the Rfam family "Bacterial small subunit ribosomal RNA", at positions 523 to 796 of the family's 1533-position model. The record is from RNAcentral.
AUACGGAGGGUGCAAGCGUUACUCGGAAUCACUGGGCGUAAAGCGCGCGCAGGCGGAUGAUUAAGUCAGUUGUGAAAGCCCUGGGCUCAACCUAGGAACUGCAUCUGAUACUGGUCGUCUAGAGUUUAAGAGAGGGAAGUGGAAUUCCAGGUGUAGCAGUGAAAUGCGUAGAUAUCUGGAGGAACAUCAGUGGCGAAGGCGACUUCCUGGCUUAAAACUGACGCUGAGGUGCGAAAGCGUGGGUAGCGAACGGGAUUAGAAACCCUAGUAGUCC